CACAAACUGGCCGCCCCCCCAACCCCCCCCACAAAAACAAAACCCAAUACUUAGUGGCACCGGGUGAGUCCAUGUGGGUAUCUUCCCUAUGGUGAGGAAUAACACGAGGAAACUUGUGCUAAUACCUCAUAAGUCUUUACGGAGAAAGCUUUAUGCGCCAUUGGAUGAGCCCGCACUUGAUUAGUUUGUUGGUAGGGUAACGGCCUACCAAGACUGUGAUCAAUAGCUGAUUUGAGAGGAUGAUCAGCCACAUUGGGACUGAGACACGGCCCAAACUCCUACGGGAGGCAGCAGUGGGGAAUCUUGCACAAUGGAGGAAACUCUGAUGCAGCGAUGCCGCGUGAGUGAAGAAGGCCCUUGGGUUGUAAAGCUCUUUCGUCGGGGAAGAAAAUGACUGUACCCGAAUAAGAAGGUCCGGCUAACUUCGUGCCAGCAGCCGCGGUAAUACGAAGGGACCUAGCGUAGUUCGGAAUUACUGGGCUUAAAGAGUUCGUAGGUGGUUGAAAAAGUUGGUGGUGAAAUCCCAGAGCUUAACUCUGGAACUGCCAUCAAAACUUU
This 558-nucleotide non-coding RNA is filed under the name Cryptosporidium muris RN66. Its description in RNAcentral is "Bacterial small subunit ribosomal RNA". It matches the Rfam family "Bacterial small subunit ribosomal RNA", at positions 65 to 636 of the family's 1533-position model. Lineage: Eukaryota; Apicomplexa; Conoidasida; Eucoccidiorida; Cryptosporidiidae. The record is from Rfam by way of RNAcentral.